UACAGAGGCCCCAAGCGUUUUCCGGAAUCACUGGGCGUAAAGGGUGUGUAGGCGGUUGUAUUCGUCUUUCGUGAAAGAUCUUCGGCUUAACCGAGGAGACGCGGAGGAAACGGUACGACUUUGAGGAUGUGAGAGGUAUACGGAACUCAUAGUGUAGGGGUGAAAUCCGUUGAUAUUAUGGGGAACACCAAAUGCGAAGGCAGUAUACGGGCACAUUCCUGACGCUGAAACACGAAAGCGUGGGAAUCGAACGGG
Molecule: ribosomal RNA, 255 nt
Filed under: uncultured bacterium
Lineage: Bacteria
Description: partial 16S ribosomal RNA
Rfam family: Bacterial small subunit ribosomal RNA
Source: RNAcentral